RNAcentral lists this ribosomal RNA (2337 nucleotides) under oral metagenome. RNAcentral's name for it is "bacterial LSU rRNA". It matches the Rfam family "Bacterial large subunit ribosomal RNA", at positions 14 to 2568 of the family's 2925-position model. The record is from RNAcentral.
AGGGCAUAUGGUGGAUGCCUAGGCACUAAGAGGCGAUGAAGGACGCGACUACCUGCGAAAAGCUGCGGUUAGCUGGAAAUAAGCUUUUACCCGCAGAUGUCCGAAUGGGGUAACCCGGCAGAGGUAAAUGCUCUGUCAUCCGAAAGGAAGCGAACCCGGUGAAGUGAAACAUCUCAGUAACCGGAGGAAAAGAAAGCGAAUGCGAUUCCCUGAGUAGCGGCGAGCGAAACGGGAUUAGCCCAAACCAAUUAGCAUGCUAAUUGGGGUUGUAGGACUGCGACAUUUAACUUGAUCAAUAGUAGAAUCAUCUGGAAAGUAGAGCCAUAGAGGGUGACAGCCCCGUAAACGAAAUUGAGAGAGUCGAUAGCAGUAUCCUGAGUAGCACGGAACAAGAGAAAUUUUGUGUGAAUCUGCCCAGACCACUGGGUAAGGCUAAAUACUCCUUAGUGACCGAUAGUGAACCAGUACCGUGAGGGAAAGGUGAAAAGAACCCUUAAGAAGGGAGUGAAAUAGAUCCUGAAACCAUAUGCUUACAAACGGUGGGAGCGUAAGUGACCACGUGCCUUUUGCUUAAUGAGCCUACGAGUUGCUCGUUACUUGCAAGGGUAAGCUAUUCAGUAGCGGACCCGUAGCGAAAGCGAGUCUUAAUAGGGCGAGAGUAUGUAGCGGCAGACGCGAAACCGGGUGAUCUAUCCAUGGUCAGGAUGAAGCGUAGGUAACACUACGUGGAGGUCCGAACCAGUACAGGUUGAAAACUGUUUGGAUGAACUGUGGAUAGGGGUGAAAGGCCAAUCAAACUCGGUUAUAGCUCGUACUCCCCGAAAUAUAUUUAGGUAUAGCCUCGUAAUAGUUUACCGGAGGUAGGGCACUGAUAGGGUUAGGGCUGUUAAAACGGUACCGACCCCUGACAAACCACGAAUUCCGGCUAAAUGUUUUACGGGAGUCAGGCUGCGGGAGAUAAGUUUCGUAGCCGAGAGGGAAACAACCCAGAUCGACAGCUAAGGUCCCUAAGUAACUGCUAAUAGAGAAAGGAUGUUUAAUUGCACAGACAGCCAGGAUGUUGGCUUAGAAGCAGCCAUUCAUUUAAAGAGUGCGUAAUAGCUCACUGGUCGAGCGAUUAAGCGCCGACAAUCCUCGGGACUAAGCAGUUCACCGAAGCUUCGGGAUUAAUUUAUUAAUCGGUAGGGGAGCAUUCCAUCGACGUUGAAGGUGCAUCGUGAGGUGUGCUGGAGUUUAUGGAAGAGCAAAUGUAGGCAUAAGUAACGAUAAAUGGAGUGAGAAUCUCCAUCUCCGUAAACCUAAGGUUUCCAACAGCUCUGAUCGUCAACUGUGGGUUAGUCGGCCCCUAAGGCGAGGCCGAGAGGCGUAACCGAUGGGAAUCUGGCAACAUAAAAUAUUCCAGAACCACCUAGCAAAGAAAGUGACGCAAGACUACCUACUGUAUGUGAUAAUGGUUUAGAUCAUGCAGUACGAACAUUGCCGAGAAAUAGCGAGCUAGCGUGACCGUACCGGAAACCGACACAGGUAGGUGGGUUGAGUAUACUCAGGAGCGCGAGUGAGUCGCGGUUAAGGAACUCGGCAAAAUAGCUCCGUAACUUCGGGAGAAGGAGCGCCAUCAGCGAUGGUGGCCGCAGUGAAAAGGCCCAGGCGACUGUUUAGCAAAAACACAGCUCAAUGCUAACUCGUAAAGAGGAUAAACGGCGGCCGUAACUAUAACGGUCCUAAGGUAGCGAAAUUCCUUGUCGGGUAAGUUCCGACCUGCACGAAUGGUGUAACGAUCUGGGCACUGUCUCGACCGCGAGCUCGGUGAAAUUGUGGUACCGGUGAAGACGCCGGUUACCCGCACUAGGACGGAAAGACCCCGUGAACCUUUACUAUAGUUUACUAUUGGGUUCGGCUGUAAUAUGCGUAGGAUAGGUGGGAGGCUUUGAAGCGGGCGUUGUGGCGCUCGUGGAGCCAUCGGUGAAAUACCACCCUUAUUACAGUUGGAUUCUAACCCGGCGUUGUGGAAACGUGGGGACAGUGGUAGAUGGGUAGUUUGACUGGGGCGGUCGCCUCCCAAAUGGUAACGGAGGCUUACAAAGGUUCUCUCAGCAUGGUCGGUAAUCAUGCGUAGAGUAUAAAAGUAUAAGAGAGCUUGACUGCGAGACUUACUAGUCGAGCAGGUGCGAAAGCAGGUUUUAGUGAUCCGGCGGCUCCCCGUGGACGGGCCGUCGCUCAAAGGAUAAAAGGUACUCCGGGGAUAACAGGCUGAUCUUGCCCAAGAGUUCACAUCGACGGCAAGGUUUGGCACCUCGAUGUCGGCUCAUCGCAUCCUGGGGCUGGAGAAGGUCCCAA